RNAcentral lists this small RNA (28 nucleotides) under Bombyx mori (domestic silkworm). Its description in RNAcentral is "piRNA piR-bmo-1758598". Lineage: Eukaryota; Metazoa; Arthropoda; Insecta; Lepidoptera; Bombycidae. The record is from RNAcentral.
UCAAAAUCAGUGAUGCUGUUGGGUACGC